AAUCUCUAAAUUCGAAUUUGUGAUUCAAACUUAGAGUCAAAGUCAUCAUGCCCAAUCAAAAUAUCCAGCAUGCUGCAAAGUUUUUAUUUUUAUUUUAAUUAUAUAUAUAUACUCAUUGCUUUAUUCAUUUUAAACAACUACUUCCAAGUGUAUAUUUUAUACCCACCAAAUAUAUGUUGUAAUAAAAUAAUUUCUAUUGCACAAAUUUAUUGAUAGUUAUUUCAGAUACAUUUCUAAAUAUUUUAUCUAAAAAGAAUAACUUAAUUUUAUAUUGAUUUUUUUCGUAUUAUUCUAUUAGAAAUCCCUAGUAAUAUUUUUGAUUGCUACAAAUUCUACUUUUCAAACUUAAACUUGUCUUAAAAUUUUGAGUACAAAGGUAAACAUGUAAGAACUCCAUCAUGAGGUGCAUAAUUCUAUAUCUAUUUAUUUUGUUAUUUGGUCAAUAUAAUUAUAUUAUUUGAAUAUGCACACAUAGAAGAAACUCAAUUAAUCUCCCAAGGUUCCAUAAAUUCCUCAAGACAUUAACUUAUACUAUAUUUAUUUAUUUAUUUAUAUCCUUAUUUUUUGUUGAUACAAAUUUUGGGCUCUACAAAUCCUACCCCCUUAAAAAGAAUCUCGUCUCCGAGAUUUGUAAGUAAAGGGAUACAAUAGGUUUGGUCUAGAAUUUUAGUUUCUCAUUUGGUUUUGGGAAUCAAAGUUUUGUUCAAGUUUUUACAUAUGAAUAUUGUAUGUCUAGACAUUUAUUAGGUCAGAUGAGGUACGGUUAUGGCAAGUAGAGGCUGUGGCAAGGGUAUAAUAAGGAAAGACUUCAUCCUGAACUCUGGAUCUUGAUUCCUCUCGCGAUCUAACUUGAUCUUUGAAGACUUGAGUUGAUGCUUAUCUUCCUUUGACGUGGUUGGUCUUCUUUGGCCUUUAUUCUUGGAGUUAUCAUCCGAGUUAAUGACAUAUGGUUAAGAUAGUUGUCGGUGCUUGGAUGGGUAGGCCCAACAAGUUUUACUUUGCUUUUGGGAUAAAUGGGUUGGGCAACCUAUAACAUAGGCUAGGUUGUGGUUUCACGGACGAGUUGGUCUAAGACACCAAUUCAGGUUUAGCACCCAUUUAUAGGAAUAUAAUCUAAUCUAUGUUUCCAGUAUUAACUAGCUUGUUUAAGUAACUUAGAUUAUAGUAGUUCAACUUAAGGUUAGACUUCGUUAGGUUGGAUUAAUCUAUCACAUCGGAUCAGAUCUAGGUUAGAUUGUUAUGACUAGAUAGACUAGAUAAAAUCUCAUUAAUUAGAUCCUGGUUGUUACUUUAGGAUGAGAUAAGUAGAGUGGUUAGGAUAAGAUGAUUCCUUCAAGAUAAGAUGAAUCUAUUGGGAUAAGAGAGAAUCUUUUAAGAUAAAUGGAUCUAUAUGAAAUAGAUACACUUUAAUGGAGGAUAAUCUAGGUUGUUUAGUUAUCUCAUGAAUUUUAUUCAUUUAUAUUUAUGCCUAUAUGUAUAUGUAGAUGUAAUUGUGGAUAUUACUCCACAACUCAUCACACUCAAUCAAAGAUCCAAAUCAGACAAGUAUCAUAAGAACAAGCAUUCAAACACAUAGAUACCUAUAAAAAUAGUUUUGUUUUUGUUCCUAAGAUUAGGUCUCCUAGUCCUAAGAGUCACUUUAGGUACAGGAUUUCAAAGUGUGAAAUCCACAUUUGUCUUUAGAAAGAAAAGAUAAGAAUAAUCAGAGUAAGCGGAAUUAGAUGAGAAAAGAUUAAGAAAAGUUUAGAAAGAAUCAGAGUAGCAAAGGUAAGUAAGUAUUUGUUGUCCAGUUCUGUCUAGGUUUCGUCCUACAGUCAACAUUGCUCUGAUACCACUUCUGUCACACUCGGGUUUCGGGGCACCAAGACCCGGGCGCGAACAUAAUCACCAGGUGUGCUGGGACCAGGUCUCACACAUAUGAUGAAUCAUGGCACAGGAUCGAAUGUCACAACUUUACUAUAUAAUAGGAAUUCUAUACAAAAUAAAUAAUUACAUAUAAGGAGACAACGGUCCAGCAACCCAAAGUUGACUGGGAGACGACGACCUAGACCUCUCACGAACACAUCACAUCAUCCUCCAAGCGCCUCAUCCAGCGGUACCUGUUCUUGACCUGUGGGGGGUGUGAGACAGCAAGAGUGAGCUCACAUACGUUCAUCGCUCAACAAGUUGUGGGGAAUAAUGUGCAUGAACUCGCCAAAGGUGGGAGCUCACGUGAAGUGUAAGGCUUACCAAAGAGGAUGGUUAGAGCUGAGCGUUGCUUUUAAAGUUGGUCAAAAUUUUAUUAGCAAUUACUAAGUAUAAGUAAAUACCAACCCAAUUAAGUAGUAGAACAAAAGUAACAACAUCACCUGCGAUGCAAUGCAUAUGACAAAUUGAAUUUAAGUUUCAUAAUUUAAUCAUCAGAGAGUCCUGAGCUGCUCAUGACCGUGAGCUCGGCUAGUAUACCAGUUUUACACUCUGCAGAGGUGGUACCCUUUACCCACAAGUCAUGUUACCCAUCUGCCAAGGGAUCGCGACUUCCCAUACACCUCUACCGAGGAGGCGAGGCAGGGUAACACUACGAGGCCUUUACAAAGUUCCACUAGCUUUAGAAAACCCGCUACAGUUUAUAGGAAGCUCCAAUGCAGGGUUCUUGCCUGACCGCCAUCGCAGCAAAAUCAACCAAGGACCUCCCUACACUGACCACUCCCCUACUGCCCUUGCCCCUUUCGGGUAAGGUAGUCCUCCACUAGCUUUCCUAAUUAAUCAGCCAAGGGCGUCCAUAAACCCUUGUGGUGGCACAUGUUUCUCAAGUUAAGCUCUAUGUUCCAAUUAACAUUAAUGAUCUUGACAUGAGCAUAAAUAGAAUAACAAAAUAACUGAAACAUAGAUAUGAUAAAUAAUUAUCCCAAAUCCAUAUAAAGCAAUAGCAAACUACCCAAGUGAUUCAGGGGUAAACAAGGUAAUGAGAUAAACAAUCUAGGGUAACCUAUUGGGUCCCAUCAAAAUUAACCUAUGCAUGAAUAAAUGAUAUUAAAGAACAUUAUUGGGUAACAAAAGUGAAUCAAGGGCACAACUUGCCUGGGACUUGAGAUUCCAGGUACCAGGAUGAUCUUCAGGUGACUCGUGACCUCACGCUAGUCGUAGCAAUACAAACAAACAGUGUAUAGACAAAAUUAACAUUACACCAAACAUAAGUACAAACUGAAUAAUAAUAAUCUACGCGUCGCUACGAGACUAACGCAACUUCAACGGAUCAAAUCGGAGUUAAAACGAAGCAGUUACGAAUUUCCUAAGGUUUUAUGUAUUUGAUACGAGAUUAAUUAAGAGAUAAAUUUUAAUACAGCUUUCAUGUCAAACCAGAGGUACUAUGUGAUAAACAAUAAUAUUAUAGAAUUAUAGGAAUUGGAAUGAAUCAAUUUGGACAUCAUAUGAAUUUUCUAUGAUUAAUACAAGUUCUAGCAUUUAGUUUUACACUAAAAAUCCAUUUCUAAUCUAUUUUCUCUGAUUUUCCAACUUUCUGGACUAGGCCUCAAUUACCCGAAAAGGCAGGGGCCUCGGGGUAACAUUUCUAAGACACAAGAAACAGUAGCCAUGGACUGCGGGUUCUAAUUUGCCUAAACCGAGGGGUUCCAGUGAAAUUGGGCCCGCGAAGGGGUAUCGUGAGAUUCUGGCCGUUCGAUCAGAAACUACAGGCUCCGAUUAGAUCGCAAUUUUCUCCAAGCGGUACACCUCGCUAGCCGCCGAAUCUCGCAUCGACGGUUCUGAUUCCCUGAAACACUCGUCGCCCCGAACUCUAAUCCCAGUCGCCCAACUAAGAUCCAAUGGUUACAAACAUCUCCCCUUUCCCUACCAUCCGAGACUGCUCACCUAGGAAUCAACGGCUAACACACCGUCUUCUCCACGGCGCUAUCCGCCGCUGCGCGCACCAGGCAGGCACAGCCCCACCCACGGCCGCAGACGCCCCCCACCGAUGCGCGCAGUAAUCACGCCACCACGUCAGACCUAGGUCGAGCGAUGGUGAUACCACGCCCCGCUACGCCGAGCCGAACGCCAGCCCAGAUUAAGUCUAGCCGCCAAGGUGAGCUACGCCAGGAAGAAGAAUAAGGCGAGAACGUGGGGGUGUUCCCUACCGAGGGAUUGCGCGACGCAGGAGACCACAGCCGAAGUCUUGCGGCCCGACGAUGCCGACGUGGAUCCACCACGGCGGCCGCAUGCUCUACCCCUGCUACGACGGCGACUCUAUUUGUCGAUGUGGAGGGUCACUGAUUGUCGCAUCCAAGGUAUGCGGCGGCCGUUCUUUUUAUAUCCCGAACGCGAGGCCGAGGACCCAGUCAAAUCCCACCGACCCGCCGAAAUCGCGGAUUCUGUUAGGCUUCGGUGCUCGUUUCAACGAGGAAGACGCCUGGAACGCCAGACCCACCACGCAACAACCCAAAGCGAGGCAAGCGUGCGUCCAAGGCAGCCAGGUGGGACCCACCGGUCGUCCCAGGCGCACAGCGCGCAGCUCCCCUGGCGGAGGUUGAGCAGCACGUAGAUGCAUCCCUGGUCCAUAACUCCAUACGGUUCGGAAUACGGAGCAAUACUCGGGCCCAGUCAUCAGUGGUACAAUCGCACCUAGAGAUGAGGUCACUACUAACGUCGGCAUGACCUCACCACUCAUGAAUACAUUAAACAAUUCCGGCAGCUCGUCAAUUGUGUGCGCAAGCAUGUGGUUUCCAGUCCAGGUCUGUUGGGUGAGCCGAGCCGGAGCUCCAUGGCCCAGGUAACGUGUUUCUUUUUUUUAUUAUUUCUAUUUUUGUUGUUGUUUUCUAAUUUAAAUCUCUAAAUUCGAAUUUGUGAUUCAAACUUAGAGUCAAAGUCAUCAUGCCCAAUCAAAAUAUCCAGCAUGCUGCAAAGUUUUUAUUUUUAUUUUUAUUAUAUAUAUAUACUCAUUGCUUUAUUCAUUUUAAGCAACUACUUCCAAGUGUAUAUUUUAUACCCACCAAAUAUAUGUUGUAAUAAAAUAAUUUCUAUUGCACAAAUUUAUUGAUAGUUAUUUCAGAUACAUUUCUAAAUAUUUUAUCUAAAAGAAUAACUUAAUUUUAUAUUGAUUUUUUUCGUAUUAUUCUAUUAGAAAUCCCUAGUAAUAUUUUUGAUUGCUACAAAUUCUACUUUUCAAACUUAAACUUGUCUUAAAAUUUUGAGUACAAAGGUAAACAUGUAAGAACUCCAUCAUGAGGUGCAUAAUUCUAUAUCUAUUUAUUUUGUUAUUUGGUCAAUAUAAUUAUAUUAUUUGAAUAUGCACACAUAGAAGAAACUCAAUUAAUCUCCCAAGGUUCCAUAAAUUCCUCAAGACAUUAACUUAUACUAUAUUUAUUUAUUUAUUUAUAUCCUUAUUUUUCGUUGAUACAAAUUUUGGGCUCUACAAAUCCUACCCCCUUAAAAAGAAUCUCGUCCCCGAGAUUUGUAAGUAAAGGGAUACAAUAGGUUUGGUCUAGAAUUUUAGUUUCUCAUUUGGUUUUGGGAAUCAAAGUUUUGUUCAAGUUUUUACAUAUGAAUAUUGUAUGUCUAGACAUUUAUUAGGUCAGAUGAGGUACGGUUAUGGCAAGUAGAGGCUGUGGCAAGGGUAUAAUAAGGAAAGACUUCAUCCUGAACUCUGGAUCUUGAUUCCUCUCGCGAUCUAACUUGAUCUUUGAAGACUAGAGUUGAUGCUUAUCUUCCUUUGACGUGGUUGGUCUUCUUUGGCCUUUAUUCUUGGAGUUAUCAUCCGAGUUAAGGACAUAUGGUUAAGAUAGUUGUCGGUGCUUGGAUGGGUAGGCCCAACAAGGUUUACUUUGCUUUUGGGAUAAAUGGGUUGGGCAACCUAUAACAUAGGCUAGGUUGUGGUUUCACGGACGAGUUGGUCUAAGACACCAAUUCAGGUUUAGCACCCAUUUAUAGGAAUAUAAUCUAAUCUAUGUUUCCAGUAUUAACUAGCUUGUUUAAGUAACUUAGAUUAUAGUAGUUCAACUUAAGGUUAGACUUCGUUAGGUUGGAUUAAUCUAUCACAUCAGAUCAGAUCUAGGUUAGAUUGUUAUGACUAGAUAGACUAGAUAAAAUCUCAUUAAUUAGAUCCUGGUUGUUACUUUAGGAUGAGAUAAGUAGAGUGGUUAGGAUAAGAUGAUUCCUUCAAGAUAAGAUGAAUCUAUUGGGAUAAGAGAGAAUCUUUUAAGAUUAAUGGAUCUAUAUGAAAUAGAUACACUUUAAUGGAGGAUAAUCUAGGUUGUUUAGUUAUCUCAUGAAUUUUAUUCAUUUAUAUUUAUGCCUAUAUGUAUAUGUAGAUGUAAUUGUGGAUAUUACUCCACAACUCAUCACACUCAAUCAAAGAUCCAAAUCAGACAAGUAUCAUAAGAACAAGCAUUCAAACACAUAGAUACCUAUAAAAAUAGUUUUGUUUUUGUUCCUAAGAUUAGGUCUCCUAGUCCUAAGAGUCACUUUAGGUACAGGAUUUCAAAGUGUGAAAUCCACAUUUGUCGUUAGAAAGAAAAGAUAAGAAUAAUCAGAGUAAGCGGAAUUAGAUGAGAAAAGAUUAAGAAAAGUUUAGAAAGAAUCAGAGUAGCAAAGGUAAGUAAGUAUUUGUUGUCCAGUUCUGUCUAGGUUUCGUCCUACAGUCAACAUUGCUCUGAUACCACUUCUGUCACAACCGGGUUUCGGGGCACCAAGACCCGGGCGCGAACAUAAUCACCAGGUGUGCUGGGACCAGGUCUCACACAUAUGAUGAAUCAUGGCACAGGAUCGAAUGUCACAACUUUACUAUAUAAUAGGAAUUCUAUACAAAAUAAAUAAUUACAUAUAAGGAGACAACGGUCCAGCAACCCAAAGUUGAAUGGGAGACGACGACCUAGACCUCUCACGAACACAUCACAGCAUCCUCCAAGCGCCUCAUCCAACGGUACCUGUUCUUGACCUGUGGGGGGUGUGAGACAGUAAGAGUGAGCUCACAUACGUUCAUCGCUCAACAAGUUGUGGGGAAUAAUGUGCAUGAACUCGCCAAAGGUGGGAGCUCACGUGAAGUGUAAGGCUUACCAAAGAGGAUGGUUAGAGCUGAGCAUUGCUUUUAAAGUUGGUCAAAAUUUUAUUAGCAAUUAGUAAGUAUAAGUAAAUACCAACCCAAUUAAGUAGUAGAACAAAAGUAACAACAUCACCUGCGAUGCAAUGCAUAUGACAAAUUGAAUUUAAGUUUCAUAAUUUAAUCAUCAGAGAGUCCUGAGCUGCUCAUGACCGUGAGCUCGGCUAGUAUACCAGUUUUACACUCUGCAGAGGUGGUACCUGUAGGAAACGGGUGACGCCUAAGAGGGGGGGGGGUGAAUUAGGACUUCCAAAACUUUUACUAAACUAGGCCACAAUUAAAUCCCUAGAGCAAAACCUUUGCAAGUAAUCAAACUAGAGUGUGCAAACUAGGUUUUGUCUAAGUGUUGCUAUCUCUACCGCAAAGGUUAAGUUUCAAUCUACACUAAACAAGUAUGACUACAAGAUUGAAACUUAAAUGCUUAAUAUAAAUAUGGAAAGUAAAGAGCUAGGUAGAGAAGCAAACUCUCGUGGAUGACGCCGGUAUUUUUACCGAGGUAUCCGGAACCACGCAAGGUCCCGACUAAUCCUCGUUGGUGCCCCUACGCAAAGGGAAGCCCACGCGAGGGCCAAGCACCUCGGUCGAGUAACUCCGUAGAGAGCCGCGGGCCUUCUCCACGCGCAAGUGGUGCUCCGCUUCCGGCUCCUCUCGGACGCUCCCCGCCGUCUCCACUAUCGAGCUUCCGGCCGAAACGCCGCGGGCCUCGUUCCCUCCGGUACACGGUGGCGGCCGUGACACAAACGCGGUUGUCACGGUCUCGCAAGACUCUCGCCCCACUCGGUACAAUUACAACGACUCACGCAAGAGCCGAGGGGUUGUGUGGUUUUACAAAACUUACUCAACUAACUAGGAUUCACCUAGAGCAAGCGCUAAUGCGGUCUAACUAACCUAAGCACUUCACAAAGCACCUACGCUAAUCACCGAGUGAUUCUAUUAAGCACUUGGGUGUUUGAGCACUUGGAAAUGUCUACAAUAUGCCUUGGUAUGUUUCUUGGGCUCCCACACAUGAGAAUGGCCGGUUGGGGUGGUAUUUAUAGCCUCCACACCCCCAACUAGCCGUUGGACAGAAAGCAGCAGCUUUCUGUCGUCGGGUGCACCGGACAGUCCGGUGCACCACCGGACACUGCACAGAAGAUGUCCGGUGCACGCCACGUCAGCCGACCGUUGGCGCCUGUAGCAGUCGACCGUUGGAUCUGACCGUUGCCGUCUGCCCGUUGGCACACCGGACAGUCCGGUGCACACCGGACAGUCCGGUGCUACAGCCAGAGAGCGCCUACCUGCGGCCUCUCUGCGCAGACAGUCCGGUGCCUCACCGGACAGUCCGGUGCACACCGGACACCAGUGUCCGGUGCGCCACCAGGCGCUGGCUGACAGCCCUUAUCUUGGAUUUCUUCGCUGAUUUCUUCGGGCUUCUUUGUUCUUGAGUAUUGGACUCCUAUGCAUCUUUUUAUGUCUUCUUUUGAGGUGUUGCAUCCUCAUUGCCUUGGUCCAAUUCUCUUCGCAUCCUGUGAACUACAAAACACAAACACUAGAAAACUUAUUAGUUCACAUAUUGUGUUGUUCAUCAAACACCAAAACUCAAUUAGCCAAAAGGCCUGGGGUCCAUUUUCCUUACAAUCUCCCCCUUUUUGGUGAUUGAUGACAACACAACCAAAGCAAGCAAAUAAUACAAGUAUUUGAGUGAAAAUAUGCAUUUUACUUGCUAAGAUGCAUGAUUGUCCCCACAAUGUGAAAUUAUGGACUUAAGCCUCCCCCUAACUCCAUAAUUCACUUACUUCCUAUUUUUGGACCAAAUAACCAAAACCACUUGAACAUUUGUAGAUAUAAAAUUUUAAAAUGGUGGUGUUUGGUGUUUGAUAUAGUUUUCAUUGCUUUGGUCCCUAAACUUCUCCCCCUUUGGCAUCAACCACCGAAAAGGAAGACAAUAAAAGCAUGUAGGAAGUAAAUAAAAACUUGCCCUCAUCAAGAAUUGUAUCAAUGAUAUCACUAGAAGGAUAUUAGAUUAAACUAUGUGAAUGAUACCACUUGAAGGAAUCCUCAAAAGAUUACUCCCCCUAAAUGAGUAUUCUCCUUUAGAAAGAGUUUUUCUCCCCCCUUUAGAGAUGAAGAAAUACUCCCCCUGACAGAGAUCCUCUACUUAGGAAAAAGCAUGUGAAAAAUUAGAGGUGCAAGACAUGAUUUGAAAAGACUAACUUCCCUUAUGCAUAGGUAACAGAAUAUGAAUUAACCACUUAUGCAUUUUUAGCAACAUGGAAGUAUAUGAUAUGAAAUAUAGUCUAAUCAAAUAUUGGAGAAGACAUGUAAAUGAUACUAGAUGUAGUCUCAAAAGAUACCAAUUGAAAGUCAAUGGCGAGCUUGAGAGACAUGAGAGUUCUUGGAGAUUUUGCAGUGGAAGAUUGUUGUCUUUCUCCGGGGACAUCAUUUUCCUUACAAUGAGACUAUCACAUAAAAUAGACUUGAAAAGGUGUUAGUCUCAAAGUAUUAGAUUAUAGAGUAACCUCCCCCUGAAGAUGUGCAUACAAGUUUUGAAUACUUGUUGGAGACAUGCACUUUGAUUUGAUAUCAAGAGGGGCAAAUUAUCCAUAAUCCAAACUUUGGCACAUAUAAGUUAAAUGAUACACUUUGGAGAGAUCAAAAAUUUUCAAUUGAUGCAUCAUUUACUAUGGAGUUAUAUAAAAGCUAUGUGCCGUGCUUAAAUAAACAUUUUAAGCCAUGUAGGUUUGCUUAAGUAUAUGAAUUAAGAACAAGCACUCCUACCAUAUGAUUUACCUAGUAUGCAUGAUUUUAAACAAAAGUACAUAACAAAUGUAAUACUAGGCAAGGAAGGUAAACUAGAUAAAAGAUAAAUAGAUACGCAUAUCUAAAAACGAGAAAUACAAUAAAACUAGUUACCUUAGUCAUGGGUGGGAAAUUUGGGUCCAAAAUUUUCACUAACUCACUUGGCAAUAAACUUGAUCCAAUAUGAUGUAUCCCAUGAUAUACAUCCCAAUUUAGCCAAGUCUCCAAAUUUCCCGAGGACCUUCGGUCCACUCACUUCCCUUUCGGGAUCCAAACCUUCUUGGUGCUUUUCAUGGUUGAAAUUAUCUCCUUUGGCACCCAGAUGCGUUUGGCCCCAUUUCCUUUGUUGGCUUGCUUGUUGGCCUUGAUUGCUAUCACCUUUCCGUUCUUUUUCUUCUUGAUCAAAUAUGGUGUAGCAUCCUUUUUGUUCACCUUUUUGAUGUAGGUGUUGGAGAUUUUGCUUGAUGGCUUUUGCUUGAGCUUUCGCCUUUGUUUAUCCCCGAUCAUCGCCUUGCAUUGGAAAGACUUGUGGCCUUCCAUGUGGCAUAGUCUACAAAUCACAGUUUCUCCCUCCAUAGGCUUGUUCACUCCCGCAGUGGUGUUAUCCUGUGAAGGUCGGAUUUGUUUGGCUUUGCCUUUCUUGUCAUACAAAGCCUUGCCAAGGCGAGCCACUUCUUGCUUUAAUUGUUCAUUUUCCUUUGCAACCUCAUCCGAACAUGUCUUUACAACAAUAUUCUCAACAACGUCUUGGUUGCAGGGGUUAGAAUCAUCAAUUAAAUCAAAGCAGGAAGUAGAAGCAUCUUUCUUAAUUAUUUCAGGUAUUUCAACUAAAGAUGUUGCUGGGGUGCUACCAAUGUUUUCUAGCUUAGUAGUUAGCUCAUUAUUGUGUAUGCUAAGAAUUUCCAUUUUCUCUAGCAAAUUUUCAAUAGCUUCUUGGGAGCUAGCUAACUUAGCCUUAAUUUUUUCAUUCUUUUUAAUAAGGCUAUCAUCGGUAGCAGUGGAUGGAGCACUAGAUUCUAAUAGCUCAAUUUUAGUUGAUAGCUCACUAUUUAAGUUUGCAAAAGUUUCAAAUUUUUCUAGCAAACCUUUGUAAUCAUUUUGAGAGCUAACCAACUUAUUUUUCAAAGUUUUAAGUUGAGCUUUUUGCUUAGUGCAAACAUCCUGGAAAAAUUCUACGGCUUCCGCAAGCUCAUCUAGAGAGGGCUUUCCCUCACCUUCAUCAUUACUACUACUUUCAUCACUAGAGGAUGGAAUGCUUUUGUUACCUCUUGCCAUAAGGCAUUUGUGUGAUGACCGUGAUGAUCGUGACGAGGACCGGUGGCUGCGUGUCCUUGGAGGUUCAUCUUCACUUGAAGAAUCAUCCCAAGUUCUAACACUUGUUAGCGCCUUGCCUUUGCUCCUCUCCUUUUUGGGUUUGGCCAUAUUUGGACAGUUGUCCCUGAAGUGACCCUUCUCCCCACAUGCGAAGCAUCCUCUCUUCCUUUGCUUUUUCCUGUCAAUGUUAAAGAGAAGAUCCUCGACCUGCAGGGGCACACCCAUUAGAUUAAUCUUGCGGAUCAUCCCCAUUACCUUUCCGACACGUCGGAUCGUUUCUUCGUCCUCGGAGGAUGAUGUGCAUGGUUGAUUAUCUUCAUCAUCAUCACUUUCUUCUUCUUCCUCUUCUUCACUUGAGGAACUUGGAGUGGGAGCCUUCUUUUUGCCCUUCCUUUCAUCACAUGCAAAAGCAUAUGGUCUUGAGGAAGUUGGCUCCUCUCCCCGACUCAUUUUUCGCGACAUCUCAAAGGCCGCGAUUUUCCCAAUCACAAUGGUCGGGGUCAUGUUGCUUAAGUCCUCCAUGUUGUGAAGGAUGGUGAUGAUGCUCCCAUAUCUUUGUUGUGGUAGCAGGGAGAUAAUCUUCCUCACAAUGUCCGCAUCACCUAGCUUAUUAAUGCCAAUAGAAUUGAGCUCAUUGAUAAUUAGAUUCAAGCGAGAAUACAUGUCUCUAACAAGCUCAUCAUCUUUCAUAGCAAAAGAAUUAUACUCAUUUAAGACUAGGCAAUGUUUUUGCUCACGGACAUUGGAUGUGCCGUCAUGGAGCUCAUGCAAUUUUAGCCAAAUCUCAUUAGCAGUUUUCAGGGUAAAUACUUGAUUGAAAAUAUCCAUGCUAAGAGAUUCAUACAAGCAAUUUUUGGCUCUAGCAUUUAAAUGAAUUUCUUUUUCUUCACUCGUGGUGGGUUUCUCGGGAUUCUUGAGGGGUUUCAUCCCGUCACGAGUGACUCUCCAAACACCUAGAUCAACGACCUCUAGGUAACAAGCCAUUCUAGCACUAUAAUAUGGGAAGUUAGUGCCGUCGAAGUGUGGUGGCCUAUGGGUAUCCAUCCCUUCCUCUAAAAAGCGUCGGCUCUUUUAGCGGUGAAGCUAAAGCGUUUCAAAUGAGCCAAACCGGGCUCUGAUACCACUUGUAGGAAACGGGUGACGCCUAAGAGGGGGGGUGAAUUAGGACUUCCAAAACUUUUACUAAACUAGGCCACAAUUAAAUCCCUAGAGCAAAACCUUUGCAAGUAAUCAAACUAGAGUGUGCAAACUAGGUUUUGUCUAAGUGUUGCUAUCUCUACCGCAAAGGUUAAGUUUCAAUCUACACUAAACAAGUAUGACUACAAGAUUGAAACUUAAAUGCUUAAUAUAAAUAUGGAAAGUAAAGAGCUAGGUAGAGAAGCAAACUCUCGUGGAUGACGCCGGUAUUUUUACCGAGGUAUCCGGAACCACGCAAGGUCCCGACUAAUCCUCGUUGGUGCCCCUACGCAAAGGGAAGCCCACGCGAGGGCCAAGCACCUCGGUCGAGUAACUCCAUAGAGAGCCGCGGGCCUUCUCCACGCGCAAGUGGUGCUCCGCUUCCGGCUCCUCUCGGACGCUCCCCGCCGUCUCCACUAUCGAGCUUCCGGCCGAAACGCCGCGGGCCUCGUUCCCUCCGGUACACGGUGGCGGCCGUGACACAAACGCGGUUGUCACGGUCUCGCAAGACUCUCGCCCCACUCGGUACAAUUACAACGACUCACGCAAGAGCCGAGGGGUUGUGUGGUUUUACAAAACUUACUCAACUAACUAGGAUUCACCUAGAGCAAGCACUAAUGCGGUCUAACUAACCUAAGCACUUCACAAAGCACCUACGCUAAUCACCGAGUGAUUCUAUUAAGCACUUGGGUGUUUGAGCACUUGGAAAUGUCUACAAUAUGCCUUGGUAUGUUUCUUGGGCUCCCACACAUGAGAAUGGCCGGUUGGGGUGGUAUUUAUAGCCUCCACACCCCCAACUAGCCGUUGGACAGAAAGCAGCAGCUUUCUGUCGUCGGGUGCACCGGACAGUCCGGUGCACCACAGGACACUGCACAGAAGAUGUCCGGUGCACGCCACGUCAGCCGACCGUUGGCGCCUGUAGCAGUCGACCGUUGGAUCCGACCGUUGUCGUCUGCCCGUUGGCACACCGGACAGUCCGGUGCACAUCGGACAGUCCGGUGCUACAGCCAGAGAGCGCCUACCUGCGGCCUCUCUGCGCAGACUGUCCGGUGCCUCACCGGACAGUCCGGUGCACACCGGACACCAGUGUCCGGUGCGCCACCAGGCGCUGGCUGACAGCCCUUAUCUUGGAUUUCUUCGCUGAUUUCUUCGAGCUUCUUUGUUCUUGAGUAUUGGACUCCUAUGCAUCUUUUUAUGUCUUCUUUUGAGGUGUUGCAUCCUCAUUGCCUUGGUCCAAUUCUCUUCGCAUCCUGUGAACUACAAAACACAAACACUAGAAAACUUAUUAGUUCACAUAUUGUGUUGUUCAUCAAACACCAAAACUCAAUUAGCCAAAAGGCCUGGAGUCCAUUUUCCUUACAAUACCCUUUACCCACAAGUCAUGUUACCCAUCUGCCAAGGGAUCGCGACUUCCCAUACACCUCUACCGAGGAGGCGAGGCAGGGUAACACUACGAGGCCUUUACAAAGUUCCACUAGCUUUAGAAAACCCGCUACAGUUUAUAGGAAGCUCCAAUGCAGGGUUCUUGCCUGACCGCCAUCGCAGCAAAAUCAACCAAGGACCUCCCUACACUGACCACUCCCCUACUGCCCUUGCCCCUUUCGGGUAAGGUAGUCCUCCACUAGCUUUCCUAAUUAAUCAGCCAAGGGCGUCCAUAAACCCUUGUGGUGGCACGUGUUUCUCAAGUUAAGCUCUAUGUUCCAAUUAACAUUAAUGAUCUUGACAUGAACAUAAAUAGAAUAACAAAAUAACUGGAACAUAGAUAUGAUAAAUAAUUAUCCCAAAUCCAUGUAAAGCAAUAGCAAACUACCCAAGUGAUUCAGGGGUAAACAAGGUAAUGAGAUAAACAAUCUAGGGUAACCUAUUGGGUCCCAUCAAAAUUAACCUAUGCAUGAAUAAAUGAUAUUAAAGAACAUUAUUGGGUAACAAAAGUGAAUCAAGGGCACAACUUGCCUGGGACUUGAGAUUCCAGGUACCAGAAUGAUCUUCAGGUGACUCGUGACCUCACGCUAGUCGUAGCAAUACAAACAAACAGUGUAUAGACAAAAUUAACAUUACACCAAACAUAAGUACAAACUGAAUAAUAAUAAUCUACGCGUCGCUACAAGACUAACGCAACUUGAACGGAUCAAAUCGGAGUUAAAACGAAGCAGUUACGAAUUUCCUAAGGUUUUAUGUAUUUGAUACGAGAUUAAUUAAGAGAUAAAUUUUAAUACAGCUUUCAUGUCAAACCAGAGGUACUAUGUGAUAAACAAUAAUAUUAUAGAAUUAUAGGAAUUGGAAUGAAUCAAUUUGGACAUCAUAUGAAUUUUCUAUGAUUAAUACAAGUUCUAGCAUUUAGUUUUACACUAAAAAUCCAUUUCUAAUCUAUUUUCUCUGAUUUUCCAACUUUCUGGACUAGGCCUCAAUUACCCGAAAAGGCAGGGGCCUCGGGGUAACAUUUCUAAGACACAGGAAACAGUAGCCAUGGACUGCGGGUUCUAAUUUGCCUAAACCGAGGGGUUCCAGUGAAAUUGGGCCCGCGAAGGGGUAUCGUGAGAUUCUGGCCGUUCGAUCAGAAACUACAGGCUCCGAUUAGAUCGCAAUUUUCUCCAAGCGGUACACCUCGCUAGCCGCCGGAUCUCGCAUCGACGGUUCUGAUUCCCUGAAACACUCGUCGCCCCGAACUCUAAUCCCAGUCGCCCAACUAAGAUCCAAUGGUUACAAACAUAUCCCCUUUCCCUACCAUCCGAGGCUGCUCACCUAGGAAUCAACGGCUAACACGCCGUCUUCUCCACGGCGCUAUCCGCCGCUGCGCGCACCAGGCAGGCACAGCCCCGCCCACGGCCGCAGACGCCCCCACCGAUGCGCGCAGUAAUCACGCCACCACGUCAGACCUAGGUCGAGCGAUGGUGAUACCACGCCCCGCUACGCCGAGCCGAACGCCAGCCCAGAUUAAGUCUAGCUGCCAAGGUGAGCUACGCCAGGAAGAAGAAUAAGGCGAGAACGUGGGGGUGUUCCUUACCGAGGGAUUGCGCGACGCAGGAGACCACAGCCGAAGUCUUGCGGCCCGACGAUGCCGACGUGGAUCCACCACGGCGGCCGCAUGCUCUACCCCUGCUACGACGGCGACUCUAUUUGUCGAUGUGGAGGGUCACUGAUUGUCGCAUCCAAGGUAUGCGGCGGCCGUUCUUUUUAUAUCCCGAAUGCGAGGCCGAGG
RNAcentral lists this long non-coding RNA (15536 nucleotides) under Zea mays. RNAcentral describes it as "long non-coding RNA (ZMAY_LNC002605)". Lineage: Eukaryota; Viridiplantae; Streptophyta; Magnoliopsida; Poales; Poaceae. The record is from RNAcentral.